CCUACGGGGGGCAGCAGUGAGGAAUAUUGGUCAAUGGGCGCGAGCCUGAACCAGCCAAGUCGCGUGAGGGAAGACGGUCCUAUGGAUUGUAAACCUCUUUUGCCGGGGAGCAAAAGACGCCACGCGUGGCGUUCCGAGAGUACCCGAACAGAAAGCAUCGGCAAACUCCGCGCCAGCCGCUGCGGUAAUAGGGGGGAUGCGAUCGUUAUCCGGAUUUAUUGGGUUUAAAGGGUGCGCAGGCGGAAGAUCAAGUCAGCGGUAAAAUUGAGAGGCUCAACCUCUUCGAGCCGUUGAAACUGGUUGUCUUGAGUGAGUGAGAAGUAUGCGGAAUGCGUGGUGUAGCGGUGAAAUGCAUAGAUAUCACGCAGAACUCCGAUUGCGAAGGCAGCAUACCGGCGCUCAACUGACGCUCAUGCACGAAAGUGUGGGUAUCGAACAGGAUUAGAUACCCGAGUAGUC
This 459-nucleotide ribosomal RNA is filed under the name uncultured bacterium. RNAcentral describes it as "partial 16S ribosomal RNA". It matches the Rfam family "Bacterial small subunit ribosomal RNA", at positions 338 to 795 of the family's 1533-position model. The record is from RNAcentral.